AUUACCGCGGCUGCUGGCACGGAGUUAGCCGGUGCUUCUUCUGCGGGUAACGUCAAUCGACAAGGUUAUUAACCUUAUCGCCUUCCUCCCCGCUGAAAGUACUUUACAACCCGAAGGCCUUCUUCAUACACGCGGCAUGGCUGCAUCAGGCUUGCGCCCAUUGUGCAAUAUUCCCCACUGCUGCCUCCCGUAGGAGUCUGGACCGUGUCUCAGUUCCAGUGUGGCUGGUCAUCCUCUCAGACCAGCUAGGGAUCGUCGCCUAGGUGGGCCAUUACCCCGCCUACUAGCUAAUCCCAUCUGGGUUCAUCCGAUAGUGAGAGGCCCGAAGGUCCCCCUCUUUGGUCUUGCGACGUUAUGCGGUAUUAGCCACCGUUUCCAGUAGUUAUCCCCCUCUAUCGGGCAGAUCCCCAGACAUUACUCACCCGUCCGCCACUCGUCACCCAGGGAGCAAGCUCCCCUGUGCUACCGUCCGACUUGCAUGUGUUAGGCCUGCCGCCAGCGUUCAAUCUGAGCCAGGAUCAAACUCU
RNAcentral lists this ribosomal RNA (527 nucleotides) under uncultured endophytic bacterium. RNAcentral describes it as "partial 16S ribosomal RNA". The record is from RNAcentral.